GACUUCAGGCUCAGAUCUGCAGAUCAGAGUCUGGAACAGGCAUUUUUACACUGCCGUGAACCGAUUGGUUAGACUGCAUAAAUUAACCAAUCGGAUUGAUUGCCAGUAAGGGACCACUCUGAUUGGUCCCUUGCCGGCAUUACUGAACUGUAUGCUGUCCGUGAC
Molecule: long non-coding RNA, 165 nt
Organism: Bufo bufo (common toad)
Lineage: Eukaryota; Metazoa; Chordata; Amphibia; Anura; Bufonidae
Exons: 3
Source: RefSeq, a predicted model, not a curated record